UUUUUUUUUUUUUGGGGAGGGGGGCCCGCUUAAAGGAAAGUUAAGUUCUUUUAAUAGGGGGAGGGAUACUGGUUACCCCCCUUAGUUGGAAUUCCGGAACCGGGGCUACCCGAAACAUUUGACCCCCGGUUAGAAUAGAAGGGGGUUCGCUUUCAUUUAGGAGGACCCGCUCCCAUACUAGGGGGGAGGAAAGCUCCCAAGGAAGGUUGGUUGCCCCCUGGGGGGGUUCGCCCCCCGGGGAUGGAACCCGCCCCAAUUUCUUCGGGAGGCAGCAGUAGGAAUCUUCCCCAAGGAAGAAAUUCGACGAACAACCCCGCUGAUGAUGAAGCUUUCGGUUGUAAAAUUUGUUGUUAGGAAGAACAAAUGCUAGUUGAUAAGCUGGCACCUUGACGGUACCAACCAGAAAGCCACGGCUACUACGUGCCAGCAGCCGCGGUAAUACGUAGGUGGCCAGCGUUAUCCGGAAUUAUUGGGCGUAAAGCGCGCGCAGGUGGUUUUUUAAGUCUGAUGUGAAAGCCCACGGUUCAACCGUGGAGGGUCAUUGGAAACUGGGAGACUUGAGUGCAGAAGAGGAAAGUGGAAUUCCAUGUGUAGCGGUGAAAUGGGUAGAGAUAUGGAGGAACACCAGUGGCGAAGGGGACUUUUUGGUCUGUAACUGACACUGAGGCGCGAAAGCGUGGGGAGCAAACAGGAUUAGAUACCCUGGUAGUCCACGCCGUAAACGAUGAGUGUUAAGUGUUAGAGGGUUUCCGCCCUUUAGUGUUGAAGUUAACGCAUUAAGCACUCCGCCUGGGGAGUACGGCCGCAAGGCUGAAAUUCAAAGGAAUUGACGGGGGCCCGCACAAGCGGUGGAGCAUGUGGUUUAAUUGGAAGCAACGGGAAGAACCUUACCAGGUCUUGACAUCUUCUGACAACCCUAGAGAUAGGGCUUUUCUUUCGGGAGCAGAGUGACAGGUGGUGCAUGGUGGUCGUCAGCUCGUGUCGUGAGAUGUUGGGUUAAGUCCCGCAACGAGCGCAACCCUUGUUUUUAGUUGCCAUCAUUAAGUUGGGCACUUUAAGGUGACGGCCGGGGACAAACCGGAGGAAGGUGGGGAGGAGGUCAAAUCAUCAUGCCCCUUAUGACCUGGGCUACACACGUGUUACAAUGGACGGUACAAAGAGCUGCAAGACCGCGAGGUGGAGCUAAUUUCAUAAAACCGUUUUCAGUUCGGAUUGUAGGCUGCAACUCGCCUACAUGAAGCGGGAAUCGCUAGUAAUCGCGGAUCAGCAUGCCGCGGUGAAUACGUUCCCGGGCCUUGUACACACCGCCCGUCACACCACGAGAGUUUGUAACACCCGAAGUCGGUGGGGUAACCUUUUGGAGCCAGCCGCCUAAGGUGGACAGAUGAUUGGGGGAAGUUGUAACAGUGCUGGAGGGCCUUGAGG
This 1425-nucleotide ribosomal RNA is filed under the name Bacillus cereus. RNAcentral's name for it is "partial 16S ribosomal RNA". It matches the Rfam family "Bacterial small subunit ribosomal RNA". The record is from RNAcentral. Lineage: Bacteria; Bacillati; Bacillota; Bacilli; Caryophanales; Bacillaceae.